Molecule: non-coding RNA, 2381 nt
Organism: Cyanistes caeruleus (blue tit)
Lineage: Eukaryota; Metazoa; Chordata; Aves; Passeriformes; Paridae
Source: RefSeq, a predicted model, not a curated record
GGUUCCGGGUGAGGGGCGGGGCCAUGCGGUCACCACGGCGACCGUGAUCCGUCCUGCCCGGGCCCUGAGGGGCGGAGGCCAUCGCCGGGCCAGUAGCGCUGACCUCGCUCCUUCCCUCCCUCCACCUCAUCACCUCCGGCACCAACGCAGCUCUUAGGGAUCCCUUGCUUCGCCUUCCCUUUCCCCUCCGCCCGCUGGAGCAGCACAGCUCUGUGGAGCCCUGCACGUGCUGAAUCCACAGCCUGAUCCAGGUGAAACAUCCCCUUUUUCCCUAGGGUUAUUUUACUAGGCCUGUGUAGCUACCUCAGCAGGUUUGCUGCGGGCUUUGUGGGUACAGACCAUGCUUAUGGGUACAAACCAUACUUCUGGGUGGAACCAAAAGAAGUGUGCAAAAAUGCUGGGGAAAAUUAAUAAUUAAUGACAUUAAUAAUUAAUGACAUUUUUACUAACAAAAAAAAAAAAAUAAAAAGCCAUAAAAAUGUGGACCAGCAGCUUCUGGGUGCUCGUCCUCAUGCCCAUCUUCCUGUGAGUUGUGAUCCAGCACCUAAACAGCCCGUGGUAAUGAUCCUGAUGCACCAGGAGAGGGUUUUCGUGUCCUUCAAAACAAGGCUGUAGGAACGUGAGACUCCGGAUUUAUCUCUCGGCACUAGCUGGGAAAGACACUGUGCCACGGGGAUUCAUCACCCCGCGACUUCCUGGGGAAGAGCCGAGCCAAAGGACAGCGCUGCCGUGGCAGUCGACAGAACAAAUUCACAAAGAAAUGAGCUGAGCCUGGGUCAGGUGUACCCUCUGCAGCUGCCAGGGUAUGUCCUUGUGAGGGUGUGAGUUCCAUCAGAGCCCAUUCCUCUCACAUCCACAUCCCACAGCGAGCACUGGGGCUGCACUCCUGCCUGCUCUGUCCUUGAUGUCCCUGGGAGGGCUCAAUGCCCAGGUGGGCUUUGCCACCCCAACCUCCUCUCUGUGACCCACCAACCGAAGGAAACACUGCCAGAGCUAUUUGCUGCUCUUGCUCCAUCAGUGCAGAUCAUGAUCCCCAUCCCUCAGCUCCUACUGGCAGUGGGGAAGGACAAACACAGUGUCCAGGGCCACCCUUGCCGUUGUCAAAGUCAAGGUGACUUCGCUGCUCGCUUGGUUGCAACCUUUGCUGCAAGAGAGUUUCUGUGGGUGCCAGGGACAGGGUAAGCCUGUGCAGGUGUUGGAGUGAAACCAGGAUCUUGGGCUCUGUGUGCUUUUUCUGGGACUCCCUGUGCUGUUGCUGGCCCGUGGACCAGCUGCACAGCUGUAGCCACAGCGCUGAUCCUGCCUCGACCUCAGGCUCCUCUGCUUCUCCUUCACCACAGACAAGAGGGUUAGAACUUAACUGAGCUUCUCUCUGCCCAUUCCUCGUUUGAGCCACUGCUGAAGAAAAUGCCUGCUCACUGGAUAGGCUUACCUGAAUCCAGCACUGACCUGGCUUGGAGCAGGGGCUGGAGGAAUGACCACCUGAGGUACCUGAGUGCUAAACCUCAGCAGCCCCCCUCCAUGUCUGGGGGUGCUGGACCCCCCAGAGAGCCAGGCCUUCACUGCCCUUACCCACAGCAGCCAAGAACUGGUGGAUCUGGAGUCAGUGGACACAUCUGGACAUCAGGUAGCACAUGCUCCAGUUCCAGAGGCUGAUUCAGAGCUCCUGGGACUGAGGCAAAGCAAACACUUGUCCUGAUACUGUCUGCUUAGCUUAGCUCGCUCUGUGGCAGCAGAUAAGGGGCCACAGCACAAACCAGAAGGUGUGACCAGUACAUCACCCCACUGUCCUGCUGAACAAUUAACUCCGAUUUACCAAAAUUGGAGAUGAAGGGCUGCAAGCUGCUUUUGUCGCCUGCGUAAAUAUUAACCACGGUGUAAAUCAGGAUUAUCUCUCUGACCUCAACACAAUUACUCUGUUUAAAAAAAAAAAGCAACAAAACUGGGGGGCUGAGCAGGGUAUUGCUGAUGAAUUUACAGCUCUGUUUGUGGUCAGGCUGGUUUUCAUGGCGUGGCAAUCACUUGGCACAGCAGGAAGAGCAAGAGGAGAAUUUGCCAGCCCAUGAGGAGAUGCCCCACGUUCUCGCAGCCUGGCGUGCUCCUUUGCUCACCCAAGCACAGUGACACAGGGGACGAGCCUGCCAGGACCAGCUAACGCAGGCCUGGUGCUGUGGAGAUGCUGGGGUGUGAUGCAAUUUUGUCCUGAUCAAAGGUUGCUCCCUGGGCCAGGAUAGGGAGAGGAUCAAAGGGCAACAGAAUCCAGACAAGCCAAGCUGAUUCUCCAGGCUUGGUUCAAUACGUUUAUUUUUUUGGAAGCACUGUGCUUUUUAGGUGUCUGGCUUUAAAGACCGUUUAAUGGUGCUGCUGUCAUGGCCUCUUUA